RNAcentral lists this ribosomal RNA (253 nucleotides) under uncultured bacterium. RNAcentral describes it as "partial 16S ribosomal RNA". It matches the Rfam family "Bacterial small subunit ribosomal RNA", at positions 524 to 776 of the family's 1533-position model. The record is from RNAcentral.
GACGAAGGGGGCUAGCGUUGUUCGGAAUUACUGGGCGUAAAGCGAGUGUAGGUGGUUGUCCAAGUUGGAUGUGAAAGCCUUGAGCUCAACUCAAGAAAUGCAUUCAGGACUGGGCGGCUAGAGGACCGGAGAGGAUAGUGGAAUUCCCAGUGUAGUGGUGAAAUACGUAGAGAUUGGGAAGAACACCAGUGGCGAAGGCGGCUAUCUGGACGGGUUCUGACACUAAGACUCGAAAGCGUGGGGAGCAAACAGG